GAUGAACGCUAGCUACAGGCUUAACACAUGCCAGUCGAGGGGAAACGACAUCGAAAGCUUGCUUUUGAUGGGCGUCGACCGGCGCACGGGUGAGUAACGCGUAUCCAACCUGCCCAUCACUUGGGAAUAACCUUGCGAAAGUAAGACUAAUACCCAAUGACAUCCCACGAAGACAUCUGAAUGGGAUUAAAGAUUUAUCGGUGAUGGAUGGGGAUGCGUCUGAUUAGCUUGUUGGCGGGGUAACGGCCCACCAAGGCAACGAUCAGUAGGGGUUCUGAGAGGAAGGUCCCCCACAUUGGAACUGAGACACGGUCCAAACUCCUACGGGAGGCAGCAGUGAGGAAUAUUGGUCAAUGGGCGAGAGCCUGAACCAGCCAAGUAGCGUGCAGGAUGACGGCCCUAUGGGUUGUAAACUGCUUUUAGAAGGGAAUAAAGUGGGUCUCGUGAGACUUUUUGCAUGUACCUUAUGAAUAAGGACCGGCUAAUUCCGUG
Molecule: ribosomal RNA, 492 nt
Filed under: uncultured bacterium
Lineage: Bacteria
Description: partial 16S ribosomal RNA
Rfam family: Bacterial small subunit ribosomal RNA
Source: RNAcentral